CUGGUUGAUCCUGCCGGCGGCCACCGCUAUUGGAAUACGAUUAAGACAUGCGAGUCGAGAGACGUAAGGUCUCGGCGGACCGCUCAGUAACACGUGGAUAACAUGCCCUAAGGUGGGGGAUAAUCUCGGGAAACUGAGGAUAAUACCCCAUAGGUCUGAUCUGCUGGAAUGCUUUCAGGCCGAAAACUCCGGUGCCUUAGGAUUGGUCUGCGGUCUAUCAGGCAGUAGUGGGUGUAACGGACCCACUAGCCCGUGACGGAUAUGGGCCUUGAGAGAGGGAGCCCAGAGAUGGACUCUGAGACAUGAGUCCAGGCCCUACGGGGCGCAGCAGUCGCGAAAACUUCGCAAUGGGGGCAACCCCGACGAGGGAAUUCCAAGUGCCAGCACUUUGUGUUGGCUGUUCUCCUGUCUAAAAAACAGGAGGAGUAAGGGGCGGGUAAGACGGGUGCCAGCCGCCGCGGUAAUACCCGCGCCCCUAGUGGUGGUCGAUAUUAUUGAGCCUAAAACGUCCGUAGCCGGUCUUUUAAAUCCUUGGGUAAAUCGGGCAGCUUAACUGUCCGAAGUCCGGGGAGACUGGAAGACUUGGGACCGGGAGAGGUCAGAGGUACUUCUGGGGUAGGGGUAAAAUCCUGUAAUCCUGGAAGGACCACCGGUGGCGAAGGCGUCUGACUAGAACGGAUCCGACGGUGAGGGACGAAGCCCUGGGGCGCAAACGGGAUUAGAUACCCCGGUAGUCCAGGGUGUAAACGCUGCGGGCUUGGUGUUGGGGGUCCUUAGUGGGCGCCCAGUGCCGGAGAGAAGUUGUUAAGCCUGCUGCUUGGGGAGUAUGUCCGCAAGGAUGAAACUUAAAGGAAUUGGCGGGGGAGCACCGCAACGGGAGGAGCGUGCGGUUCAAUUGGAUUCAACGCCGGG
Molecule: ribosomal RNA, 912 nt
Filed under: uncultured archaeon
Lineage: Archaea
Description: bacterial SSU rRNA
Rfam family: Archaeal small subunit ribosomal RNA
Source: RNAcentral